GCGCCGCCCCCUCCGGCCGCCCGGGCCGGCCUUCCCCGCUGACUGACAGCGGGACCUCCUCCCGCGGCCAGCCGGGCCUGGGAAGCGGCGCGGAGGCGGCUCCGGCCCUGCCCAGCGCGCGGCCCCCGGAGCUCAGGCCGGGGAGCGGGGGAGGGGGCGGCGUGCACGGGUUCCAAGCCCGAGGCGAGGCGGGAUAACGGGACCCGGAGGCCGAAAGCGGAGCUGGCCGGCAGGGUGCGGGGAGUUGGAGGGGCGAGGCCGGCGGGUAACGGGCUCCUAGGGACCAGCCGCCAAGGCCUGGGUGCAGAGGUCACACGGGGUGCACAGCUGCCUCCUGGUGUGUGUGUGGGGGUGUGUGUGUGGGGGGAGGCUCGCGGCUUUGGGGCUGGGCGCUGGGGAGGGCGUAGGGGUUCCGCCUUCUUCGGGUGAGGCUGCUCGGGGACAGCCCGGGUUCUGGGUGUGGUGAAGGGCGGCGGUUUGGGGAGGUGGCCCGGCACUUGCGAGAGCGCGAGGGGUGGGGACUGUGGUCUCCGAGUUAAUCAUGAGGUUUCCGAGAGGUUCGGUUCAACCUGCCUUCUCCCAGGACUUUUGCCUUGUCCCCGAAUCGCCACAUUUAGACAGACGAGCUCCACCCCCAUCCCGGAGAUCCCCGAUCUCUGACCCGCCAGUAGGGGAUUUGGAACCGUAUGCGGCGAGUGCAUUGGUGUCCACGCAGAAUCUACUCAAGGAGUGUGAGAACCAGCUAUUAUCCCAAGAUAGGUCUGCCUGCCUUCCCCAAGUUUCACAAUCUGGCUACACAACCAGACAUGGCCAUCUUUGAGAAAGUCGUAGUCGGGGGCAGAUUCCUUGAAAAGCGUUCUUUGGAUCCUCUGAGUGUUCAUGUCUUGGAGAAGCCUCCCCGGGAGGGAUUGACAUUGUGGGUGUACAGCUCAGAGUUGGUGAAUAUAACGUGAACACUGUUAACUUCAUUACACAUCAUUCCAGGUCCCUGACACCUCUGGUAGAGUGUUGCUUUUCCUGCUGAAACACCUGGGGGAUCAACUGACCUGGUGAUCUGGGCUUCCAUGAGCAUCCAUUAGCUUUCCAUACAACCUGGCCCCCCACCUUUCCUUCCCUUCGAAGAAUGCCACAUUCUCCAACCUUGAAGCCGUGCUGCCUCUUGGCCACCCUCUGUCUUUUCCCAUGAUCCUCUAGUUCCUCUACUGUUCCAAGUUUGCCUUCCUGGAGUGCCUUCUCCCAGCCCUUCCCUUCAGUUUCCUCAGCUGCUACUUCAUGCUUUUCCAGGAAGUAAUGACACUUCUAUAGCCAGGAUUCGUGGGAUUCUGGGAUCUGGAGGGUGUAUUUGUGGAACCCUGAGGCUUUAUUUCCUUUACAAAAAUGUCCAGAGUCCUUUGCUCAGGUCUAGGAAAAGUUGUGUAAAGAACUCUGGAUUUGAAGUCAAAGAUUCAAUCCCAAUUGAGAUUGCUCAGUAUGUGCAAUCUAGUUUUGUUUUUUUUUUUUUUUGUCAUUUGUUUUGCAAGAUGGGGUUUCUCCAUGUAGCUUUGGAGCCUAUCCUGGCACUUGCUCUGUAGACCAGGCUGGCCUUGAACUCACAGAGAUCCACCUGCCUCUGCCUCCGGAGUACUGGGAUUAAAGGCGUGACAAUCUAGUAUUAACAAGAACAAAUAAACAUUUUUGAUGUGGUAGACAACAUGGUUGGGGGCUACGAUUCUUCCUCAAGGCAGAACUGGCUUUGACUCCUUUGCCCCCUGGUUUCCACUGGAGAAAUUGCUCGCCCUCCAGGCUCCCUUCCAAUAUGGAAUAUUCACUUUUCUCAGAACCAGCAGCCCAGCAGUUCAUCAGAAAGGCCCUUCCCCACACUGUGAGGAGUUAACAGAAGGCCUGGGUUUCAGCCUUCUGAUGCCACUGUGACAAAGAGCAGGGUCCAACCUCAUCCCCAUCCUCCUUGGGGUGGGUGGGGAUGGGCAUAGCCAGGCAGUGUGUUCCUCCACCUCCCUCAGGUAGGAAGUGAAGCUGACUAUAUCUAUAUCUAUCUAUCUAUAUAUAUAUGUGGAGGUUGGGUUUCUGCCCUA
Molecule: long non-coding RNA, 2072 nt
Filed under: Cricetulus griseus (Chinese hamster)
Lineage: Eukaryota; Metazoa; Chordata; Mammalia; Rodentia; Cricetidae
Description: lncRNA (ENSCGRG00015021619.2)
Source: RNAcentral